UGGUGGAGUGAUUUGUCUGGUUAAUUCCGUUAACGAACGAGACCUUAACCUAUUAAUUAGUGACGCGAACUUUCGGGGCAACCCGUUUCGGUUCGUGGCUGCACUUCUUAGAGGGACUCUCGGCAUCUCUAGCCGAUGGAAGUUUGAGGCAAAAACA
This 157-nucleotide ribosomal RNA is filed under the name uncultured eukaryote. RNAcentral's name for it is "partial 18S ribosomal RNA". It matches the Rfam family "Eukaryotic small subunit ribosomal RNA", at positions 1299 to 1458 of the family's 1831-position model. The record is from RNAcentral.